RNAcentral lists this long non-coding RNA (16332 nucleotides) under Malus domestica (apple). RNAcentral describes it as "long non-coding RNA (MDOM_LNC004035)". The record is from RNAcentral. Lineage: Eukaryota; Viridiplantae; Streptophyta; Magnoliopsida; Rosales; Rosaceae.
GCAGACCAUUGAUUUAUCCGGUAAUCCGCAGCUUCAAGGUUCCUUACCAGAAUUUCCGAAGAAUGGCUCUCUUCGAUCGCUGGUUCUCAAUGGGGCAAAUUUCUUAGGCCAGAUGCUUCCGAACUCUAUUGGGAACCUCAAAUUGCUGUCCAACAUAGAUAUUGGAAAUUGCAAUUUCACUGGAUCAAUCCCCAAGUCAAUGGAAGACCUUACACAGUUGGUUUAUUUGGACUUGUCGAUGAACAAGUUCAAUGGUUCAGUUCCAUCUUUCAGUAUGGCCAAGAAUCUGACCCUAAUAGAUGUUUCUUACAAUCAGCUAACGGGUCAGAUUAAUUCCUCACUCUGGGAAAACCUGACUAGUCUGGUGAAUCUCGACUUGCGACGCAAUCUACUUAAUGGGACUAUUCCACCAUCUGUGUUUUCUCUUCCCACGCUACAGAAGCUACAGCUUUCUAACAAUGAAUUUUCAGGUCAGUUGCUUGAAUUUGAUGCUAUAUCUGCACUGGACACCCUUGAUUUGAGUAGCAACAAGUUGGAAGGGCCAAUUCCCAAGUCUAUCUUGAAAUUCCGAGGGCUUAAGAUUCUUUUACUAUCUUCAAACAACUUCACUGGCUCUUUUCUUCUGAAUGAUAUUCAGCAGCUAAAAAAUCUUUCGAGUCUCGAUCUUUCAUACAAUAGCUUGUCUAUUAAUUACACUGAGACCAAUUCCUCUCAUUCUUCAUUUCCAAAUAUUACCACGUUGAAGUUAGUUGCUGGCAAUUUGACAAGAAUCCCAAGUUUCUUAAGAAGUCAAUCAAAAUUAAGCACUUUGGACCUAUCACAAAACCAGAUUCAUGGUGAGAUACCCAACUGGAUUUGGAGGCUCAGUAAUCUUGUUCAACUAAAUCUUUCUUGCAACUCUCUGGAAACUCUAGAAGGUCAUUUCCUCAAUCUUACUUCUAUUUUGUCUGUGCUUGACCUUCAUUCCAACCAGCUUCAGGGACAAAUUCCAAUGCUUCCAGGAUUGGCCACUUAUCUGGAUUAUUCGAGAAACAACUUCAGCUCUAGCAUACCGGCAGACAUUGGUGAUUUCCUUAUGUACACAGUGUUCUUCUCUCUUUCAAGCAAUAAGUUCCAAGGCAGCAUUCCAGAAUCAAUCUGCAAGGCGUCAUAUCUUCAGGUUCUUGAUUUGUCCAAUAAUUCUCUAGGUGGAACGAUUCCCUGGUGCUUGACUGAGAUAAGCAGGACACUGGCAGUACUUAAUCUGAGGAGAAACAGACUUGGUGGCUCUGUCCCUAAUAGAUUUCCACAGCAUUGUAGUUUAAAAACUCUCGACCUCAGUGGAAAUCAGAUAGCAGGUCUAUUUCCAAAAUCUCUUGCCAACUGCACAAUGCUAGAGGUUCUAAACAUGGGAAACAAUCAGAUAAUGGAUAUCUUUCCUCGCUUGUUGAGGAAUAUAUCCUCCUUGCGUGUCCUAGUUUUGCGAUCCAACCACUUUUAUGGACAAGUUGGAUGUAACACGACCAGUGACGCCUGGCCAAAGCUUCAAAUUGUUGACAUAGCUCACAACAAUUUUAGUGGUGAAAUACCAGGAAGAUGUUUGAUAACCUGGUCAGCAAUUAUGGCUGACGACGAUGAUGCCAUGGCAAAGAUCAAUCAACUCCAAUUUCUAGUUCAACAGUUCAGUCAGGUAUAUUAUCAGGAUACUAUAACAGUUACCAUCAAAGGUCUAGAGUUGGAAUUGGUAAAGAUCUUAACAGUCUUCACCUCGAUUGACUUCUCCUGCAACAAAUUCAAUGGAUCAAUACCUGAGGAAGUGGGAGACCUCAAAUCACUCUAUGGCCUAAACUUGUCUAGUAAUGUUUUCACAGGUACAAUCCCAUCAUCACUGGGUAACCUACGACAGCUUGAGUCCUUGGACCUUUCAGACAACAAAUUGAGCGGAGAAAUUCCCCAAGAGCUUGUCAAACUUAAUUUCCUCUCGUUCCUGAAUCUCUCAAACAAUCAACUGAAUGGGAAGAUUCCAACUGGCACUCAGAUUCAAUCUUUUGCACCAGAUUCUUUCGCUGGCAAUAAAGGAUUGUGGGGGCCUCCUUUGACAGUUGAUAUCACCUCACGAUUGCCACCACCACUAGAAAAAGGUCAUUCUAAUGCUCAACCUGAGAUUGAUUUUGAUCUUAUAAGUACUGAGAUUGGAUGUAUCUUCGGCUUUGGAGCUGUCAUCGGGCCACUCGUGUUCUGCAAGAGAUGGCGGAAAUGGUAUUACAAAACUGUGGAGAGCAUCUUCUUUAAAGUAUUUCCUCAACUUGAAGAAAGAAUCGGUCCUCACCGAAGACAUGUUCACAUAACUCAAAGGCCGAGACGUUGAAAUUAUUAUGAGGAUUGAGGAGCAAUGCAGCUGGCCUCCUUGUCAUGAUUGUGUUCUGUAAGAAAUAAGAUAUUUGCUUCUGCUGUCCCAUAAUUAUAAAUUACGAGAUGUAGUGUGAGCUUGUUCUGUUACUUUUUUAUAUUUUGAUGUUGGAAACUUUAUUAGUAAAUGUGGAUUAGAGUUGUCUGCAUUCCAUUCUUGUUUUUGAACGCCAGGAUUAUCAAUGUUUUUAAACAAUAUUUCAGUCGUCUUUCCAGUACAGGAAUCAGCAUUGCUCGCUAUAAGAUCGACAUAUUAGCGAUUAAAUUUUCGAAGUAUGGAAUUUGACACAUAAAAACACAAACCAAAAACAGAAAUAAACAAAAUUGGCGAUGCAAGCAACAUUGAAUCAAUAUAGUUUUACUUAAAUCGCGCUUCAUUUGACUCUGUUUUCACUUGUUUGGUUUUGGUUCUUAGCUUUCUUUCUUUCGUGGUUUCUCCUCUUGUUUGUAUUCUUCUGUUUGUUUGUUAUCAUGAACGUUCACUCUGUUUUAGCUUUGAUUUUUCCUGAUGAAGACUUGGUAGUCUUUGAUACAAUGUAAGGCCGCCACCGCAACAAUACUAGCAAAGCGGGGAAAUUUCUUCGUAUUUCGGUGACUUACAGCAUGUUGAAUCUCCACUUCUUUCUGGAUUAGCUGUGAGCCUUUGGCAUCUAUGAAGUGAGUUGAAGAGCCUUACAUAAAGCUAUCUAAACUAUUUAAGAAUCAGUCCGUCUCCUCACGCGAGAGUUGGGAGGGGUGUACGGGCGAAAUGUCACCCUCUCUUCUCCAGCUGCCUGCGUAAUUCAUCACCUUAAUCAAUAAUCUGUGGACAUCGAAUAAAACAGCUUACUUGUAGUAGAUUGUAAACCCCACUAGGAAAAUGGGGAAAGACUUCGACGUCGACAAGUCAAGCAAGCAACAAGUCUCGUAGAAACCUUCUCCACAAAGUUAAACCCACCAUAUACCUUACCAUCACCACAGGUCCUCAGUUUUCCUUAGCCUCUCAAAGAGGAAUACAAUGAUAAAUAAGUCAAUCCCUUAAUGCAAUCUCAUUUGUCCACAAUAUCAGAGUCUCAAUCCAACUAUACACAUUAAUGCAUGCGAAUUAGUAGCCAACGAACAAGUAAAAUUACGAAAAUGAAAAAGGAAAUCUAUGCAUGAAUGACUACGUACCGUUGAUUUUUCAUUUGUGACAAGUGCUGAAGAUAUUCCUAAUACCCUGAGCCUACACUCUUUACUACAUUUUCUGUCCCAUAUCAGCAAGAGCAUCGAUGAAAACUCCUCCAAUUUCAUGGCUUUUCUUGAUGCUCAUUUCCUAUGCCUCACUCAGCUUCCAUACAUUUGUGGUCUCUAGCCAAUGUCAUCCCAGCGAUCAACGAUGAUUGUUGUUGCAAUUGAACAACAGCCUCGAAUUUGACCCUGCACAAUCUAACAAACUUGUGCGGUGGAAUAAUGGCUCAGAUUACUGUUCUUGGGAAGGUGUCUCCCGCAAAGAUGGUUGUGUUUCUCAUCUUGACUUAAGCAGCGAGUCAAUUUCAGGUGGACUCAACAAGUGCUCUUUUCCAUCUGCAGUACAUCGAGGACCUAAAUUUGGCUUACAAUGACUUCAACUACACUCAGAUUCCAUCCGAGUUUGGGCAGCUAACCGGUUUGAGUAGUCUGAACUUGAUGAAUGCUGGCUUCGCGGGGCAGGUUCCGAUUGAGAUUUCGUACUUGACAAGGUUGGUAACUCUUGAUUUGCAAGAGAAGAUCUUCCAGGUACCUACACUGCAGACUAUUGAUUUAUCACGCAAUCAACAGCUACAGGGUUCCUUAACAGAAUUUCCAAAGAAUGCAUCUCUUCGGUCCUUGGUUCUACGCGGGGCUAACUUUUCGGGGUUACUACCGAACUCUAUUGGCAACCUCAAAAUGUUGUCCAAGAUAGAUAUUUCCAGCUGCAAUUUCACUGGAUCAAUCCCAAGGUCAAUAGCCAUUAUGCUUGGCUUCAUCAAAGCCCUAGCUUUUCUGGUUUCAAAUUUCCAAUACCCAGCGAAUAAGAAGCCGUCUGAUGAAAUCGAAGAGCUGAUUCUGUUCUUAGUAAGAUAUAUGCAUGAUAAAGUUUCAGAAUACACUAGAAGAUAUGUCUGCGCGUUGCUGCAGGAAUUGAAUAUAUUAGUUGCGACAAGCAUGAAUAAUUUCCACACAAACUAAAACGACGGUUUAGUACCUAAGAACCAAUGAAGUAAAACUUUGCUUGCUAUAUGCAUGCUAUAAGAAAGCAUUCACUUGUAGAUCGUAUUGUACCAUCAGUAUUAUACUCAUAGUUUCAAGUGCUCAACUUACUAUAUGGGGAAAAACACAGAAAUGGGAAAGCAGAAAGGUAGAAGACAUAAUAUUUGAGCAUUUGGCAGGAAUAGUAAGUUUCUAAAAAAAUUGCUAAACUAUCACAAAUUCAAUCAUUAAACAUUACAUUGUGACCUAAGAUAAAGAUAAAUUAUAUAGUUCGUUCACAAAUCAAAACAAAGUGCUAUCAAAGGAAAAUGUUUAAGAUGAUGAAAAUAAAAAACUGGACUCGGCAACCAUAUUUCCUAUCGGUAACCAAACGAAUAAUUUAGAAUGAUACAAACCCAAUUCUAGCUCAUCUGGUUGCUCUCAUCCUCAGCUCUGUAUUUCAAAGGUUGAGUAUCCAUGUUUGCAGAAGUUGCCAAAUAAUCACCAUCUGAAGAUUGAGAAUAACCCACAUUGUUCACAUCGCACAAAAUUUUAUAGAAACGGGGACAAAUUAACAUAUUUCAAGUAAACAUUAAGAUGUAAACAUAUUCAAAGGCUGAGUAGCUGAUUGGAUUCGUUUAAUUUUUCAAAUUCAAUAAAAAUACAAAACGAAAAGGAAUUAAAGAAAAGUUACAGUUUAAGUAUUUUAAAUUAGUGAUUAAUCAACCAGUCAGUCUCCAUAAUCUAUCAAUACCAUGGACAUCAUACAAAAAUUCAAGUAAACCUUGUAAACUAUCAACUCCUCAACUCCAUCACUCUUCCACCAUUGUUUCUAAUUUACCUCUCCUUGGAGCUUUUUGAUUACUAAUUUAUAUACAGCAAAUUGAACUAUCCAUUUCAAAUCAAAUUUACAUGGGCAGAAAAGCAAAACCUAAACUCCCGCCACAUAAAUUAAUUAAUAAUCAAACAAAGAAAAAUUCUUGGAGACCAGAACAAAUCCAAUUGAAUUUUCAUGCGAGUGGUUGUAAUUGCCAAACAAAACACAUAUAUUUAAGUGCCCAAAAUUUAAGCUUUACAUCAUAAUCUAUUCUUGUAACAAAAACAAUUUCUCAGCCGUUGGGUAUUUUCUGUGGCUUUCGAACAAUAGUUGUACUUAUAUAGAAAAAAAGUAAAAUAGUCGAACACAAAUGAAAGAAAGACGGAUCAAAUUAUUAAGAAAUCUAGAGUUGUUAAAAUUCACUUUCAUGUGUAUGAUUCAAACUUCAACACAUUUAUUCUUACAUUUUACCAAUUGUAAGACAUUGCUAAUUGCCAAGAUAGCAAGAUAAUGAAUUCCAUGAACGAAAAAAAUAAAUGACAUGCAACCAAGAAUCUAUGUUAUACUUGAUUUGUGAUUCCAUUAUAAUUUCACACAAAAAAAAAGAUCAAAUUUUGAUUGAAACAUCAAACAAAACAAUCUCAUCUGUUACAGAUUGGACCAACCAAAUAAAGAAUCUAUUGAAAUGGUUGUCAACCUAACUAUAAAGGUGCUUUAUAACAGCGCAAUCAACAUCAUUUGAACCCAUCUAAAAAGAAUCUGAUUGUAUGUUAUAAAUUCCAUGGGUAAUUUGAUUUUGCAAGUUAAAAAGAGUCGAAAAAUAUUGAAAAUUACUAAACCCCAUCACAACAUCGCAUCAGCAAAGAUGCAAAUCCAAAUGUAAGCUGUAGGAGAGUGACAAUUGCAUAAAGAAUAUGAUAAUAGGAAGCAUAAAUGGGAUAUUGAGGAUCUCAAGUAAAUUCGCAACAACACAAAACCCAACCAGCAACAAUUCGUUCAUGACAUCUUAAAACACCAAAUUUCGUCCUGAAAACAGGACAUUUAAUGCAGAAAGCUUAAAACUUUGCCUCCCAAAACUAACAUCUGAGAAAGCAUUGCAAUUUUUAUCUUUAAAAGCAUGAAUGGUGAACUUAAUAAAAGAAUAAGAAUCUGCAAUGAACUAAUAAAAAUACAAUUUCUAUAAACAUUAUUUGCACAAAAAAUAAUUGUAUUGAGAAACUCACCAUCCUACUUCUCACGAUGAUGCAUGAUGAUAAAACCAAUUAGUGGGUGCACUGAAAUAUAUUCACAGGCCCAUUAAACGCACGAACAUCAUAUAGUGAAUUGCACAUAAAGUACAACAUUAUCAAGUAUACCUCGAGGCGGCAUUGAAUACGAUCAUUAUAAAGUCUUCAUCUCUGACACCAAAAGCACUCAGCAUCUCAGAACACACAUUCAUUAUACAUUUCUCUAAUAACUAAUCAACUACCUGAAUUUAAAAUUAGCUUCCAAACCAAAAAAGUUCUGAACUUUUAAUUCUGCAAUCACACUCAGUUCUUCAUCUCUUACUCUAAAUCCCAAUUACAGAAAUAUCUAAACAUUACUUCAAUUUAAUAUUGAUUUCCCCCAAAAUAGCACAAUCCCACAAAAAAAAUACGUUUAAAAAAAACAACAUAUCAUAAUUAAAUUAAACUUCUCACCUCCACCUCCAGUAGAGCUUUCACAUUCUCAACCUAUCACAAAAAAAUAAAAUCAAAUUCACAUUAAAAAAGGGAGAUCUUCAACUUCCAAAUUAAUUGACAGAACUAUAAAAUCAAUUAAGGGUUUCUGCUGAAGUGAAAAGUAAGGGUUUUACAUUCUUGUGAGGAUCGACGUUUAAGGAGAGGAUCUGUUCGUCUUCGGUGAUCAUUGUGAACUUCAUCUUCUUUAAUCCGUCGUAAAAAAACAACAAUAAAUCAAAAAUUAAAUUAAAACUUCUCACCUCCACCUCCAGCAGAGCUUUCACAUUCUCAACCUGUCGCAAAAAAAAUCAAAUCAAAUUCAAGUAAAAAUAAAAAAGAGAACUUGAAUAUAGCAACCCUACUCCCCCUCUCACAGUUUAAUAUGUAAGGAAGUUGGAAUCCAAUCAUGUUAAAUUCACCCUUUUAAACGCCACAAUUUAUCUAAUAAAAAGAGAAAUUGAAAGGAAAAAAAAAAAAACCUAAAACGGAAAGUAGUGAUCGUAAGCUUCCUCUACUAUCAUUUUUUGCCUAAACUCUGUGAAUUAAUCGGAAACGAAGGAAAACUAAGAACUUGAUUAAUUGAGUGAUUAAGAAAACAUCGACUUGGUUAACUUGAUAUAUAAAAGCUGAACUCAUUGAAAGAUGCUUCACAUACAUCAUGCAUCCACCGUCUAUUUCCAGAAAAAUGAUACAUUAUCUGGAUAACAGCACCUAGUAAUGAAUUGAUAUCAAAAAUCCCACAAAACCAUCCACAAAUACAUAUUUCACUAUAAAGCAUGAAAUGAGAAAGAUUAAGGCUCAAAGGUAACUGUUGGGUGAAGUGCAACGAAUUCGAAUGAUGGCGCUAAGUAAGAGGACCUUGUUUCAGAAAUGAAUGAUGUUGAGGCUAGUGGGAAGCUCCACCGAUUCCGCCAUAUUUGCAACUUGUAGUGAGCGGAAAGAAGAAGAAACAGAAAGGAGAGUCAGAGGAUGAGCUAGAGAAAACAGGCAUUACCAUAUAAGUGCCCUAAACCAAAAACAAAAAAACUUAAACACAGAAUUAUGGAUGUCGUUGGAGACCAUUUUAAAUGAAACAAAUAAAUAUUGGGAAGCACUCAUUGUCAAACUAACCUGACGAACUUCUCUUGCUGAAAAUUCAUGACUACAACUUAUUUUCUAGAAUCUCCAAACGAAAAGUUAACCUCUGAAUGUUUGGAUAACCCGAAGAACUUCCUCAUGCACCACCAUGUUCCCAAAAGCAGUCCCCUGACAACGAUUCAAAGUGAAAUAAAGUGAAUUCAACAUAGAAACUUCUAUAAUUUCACAUGUUUCCUAAAAUUACUUGGCUAGGUGUUCAUAAAAGGGGAAACUUUUUCUGAAGUCCAAGAGCAAUAUCAAAGUGUCAUUUGCCCCAAUUCAAGAAGCAAAAUCGCACUAAUACUAAAUAUCCAUACAAAAAUAUCUUCAUUUGAGCAAUAUCCCCCUAAAUUUAGCAUCCACUGUUUUCAUACAUUCAUAAAUUCAUUGCUACCAACAAAAUGUAAUAAAUAAAUAAAAUAUAAAAUAAGGUCAAAAUUGGACCAUCGGGACCCCUUGGAUUCAAAUUUUUGAACCAAAAAUCAAAUAAUUUCAACAAGAAGUGAUAUUUUGGAUUUCCAAUUUCAUAUCCUUUCAAGAAAAGAUCAAAAAACUACAUUGUUAACAUUCCCAAACACUGAAAAUCCAAUCUUUGGGGGAAAUCCAUGAGAGCAUACAGUUGCAUCAGUCAAAAUAUAUUCCUUACCUCAACUAAUUGGAUUAACCAAUAGAGCUAAUUUUUAUGAUAUUUAGUUAAUUACACAUCUAGAGCUAUCAGCUAUAGCGAAUCUUUUAUCUCCAACCUUAAAUAUUACUCCCUUAAUUAGUGCUUCUUUUCAUACCACAACAUUGAAUACGAUUAAUUAGGUGCUACAUCAGUGGUGAUUUGUGAGGACCACUAUACUAAUUAAAUUGUACAAUACAAUUUCAAGAUCUAAUUGCAACAACUCGAAAUCAUAGCAAGACGAUCAAUCGACACAAGAAAGAGACCUUAAGAGCGGGGAUCAUUUUUCCUUGAAUAUGAAUCCGCAUCAUGUACCCAACUAAGAUAUAAAUCCCCAUAAAUCCAUAUCUGGAAAGUACUAAAAUACCCAAAACAAAUAUAUAUAUAUAUAUAUAUAUAUAUAUGAGGGAUUGGAUGAGGAAGUCUAAAUAUACCAGUAAUGGCGAGUGGUGAGGAUAAGCUUGAUACUGACACCAUGUUCUUGGGCUGCUUUCAGAACCCUCUCAGGUUCAACUGAAUCCACAACCGCUGCUUUUUUGGUACUCUCGUCAAUAAUUCUAAACACCAAUAACAAUUGAAUUUAGAACUGAGCAAUAUUUAAGCAUAAUUAAUUAAUAAAACCCUAAUUAGGAUAAUCAGAAAUUGAGAUGAAAAGGGUGGAUACAACCUUUUUGCUUUAAAAAACAUGCUAUAAAUUUGUUCCGCACUUAGAAAUACAGGAAAUUAGAGAAUUUUAAUCAAGUGUUCGCAAGCGAAUGACAUUACCUGCAUCCCAUUCAUGAAACCAAGGCUUAUACACCCAAACUAAAAGGCAAAGCCCUUGAAUGCAUCUCCUGGGGCUAAAUCAACAGAAAAAAGUUAAUACCUGAUCAUUCACAUUUAUUUAUAUAUCAUAUACCAACACGUUAAACUCAGUCGCAAUGGGUGUAUCAAAACCUGCUACAUAAAAUCAGUCGCAGAAAAACAUUGCCAAGAAAUGAAAAUCAAACAAAAUGGGCAACUCAGAUGUUAAAAGAGAACACAAUUAUCUAAGAUUCCCAAACUCCUUCAAACACAUAAAUUUUCUAGACUGAAAGAGAACUGUUACUUAGAAAUCUGUACCAUGUAAUUGGGGCUGUACACGGGCUCCAUUUUGUACACCGCCAUGUUCCGCAGAAGCAAUACUAGAAUCCUUAGUGUUCAUAGUGGCUACACUUGCUCUGGAUUGUCCUCCUUGUGCAUUGUUAUUAUGCUACUUAAAACUGAAUAUUUGAAAUAAAAAUCAUCAAACCCUAAAAUUUCCAACAAUCUCAAAAUUUCCAAAAUGCAUUAAAAACCUCAAUUUGAAAUAGUAAUCCCAAGCAAUAUAAUUGCAUAGAUUGUAAAAGUGAAGAAAAACUGAUCAGGAAUAAACCCUACACAAAAACACAUAUGCAAAUAAGUAGAUAUGACACACACACAUAUAUAUAUAUGCACCUACGGUUGGAGGAGAUGGAAGGGCCAAGCCCAUCGGUGCCGGUGCCCAUAGGGUAAGCGGGUGAGUAUCCCCUGUGGAAAAUAUGAAAUCUUGUGAAAAGAGCGCAUGUGGGAAAGAACAAUAUCAGCAUUGAACGCAUAGAACCUGCAGCAGUAAUAACAUUCAAAAAAGUAUUUGUUCUAUGCGACACAAUAAAAGAAAUAACAGUGAGCCAUAAAAAGUAAAAAUAAAAAAUCGGGGAUUGUAAAUUGUAAUCCAAUCACCCAAUAAAAAAAAGAAAUUAAGCACAACAAUAUCAAAAUUAAACGGAAGGAAUAAUAUGAAACAUUGUGCAUAGAACGCUCGUGAGAAUGAAUCACACAACAAUCAAGGGUGGACAAAUCACAAACGUGACAACUAAAGGGCACCUAACGGACACCCCCAUCUCUCUCUCUGCAACGGCAAUUGCAAAAAUCCCUCGGGUUUCAGGAAGCAAAUGGAAAACGAAGUGCUUUUCCAUCCCCUACCCAUACCCAUACCUCCCUUGCCCGUUCCCUUUACCCUCAUAGAAAAUCGUCCCAUCUCUCGCUCUGCAAAUCGCAGAAAGAAACCCUAAACAAAUCCAUGAAAUCCCUCACCUAAAUCCUCCCACAUCUCUCUCGGACACCCCUAUCUAUCUCUUUGCAAACCCUAAACCAAAUCUCCUAAAUCCUAUCUCGGACACCCCACAAACAGCCAAGAAGCCAAAGAUAUUAAAGCAAUCUCUACAUAAUACUUUGGAACAGUGAAGCAAACUGGUACUUACUUUUCCUUGUCCAAAACCGUUGGUGCCGCUGUACAUUGUUAUCAAUUGUGGGUCUAACAAAUCCCUCAUGGCUUAGACUGCAUGAAGAAUUAAAAACAAAAAGAUGAAUAUAUGAUGUAAAUCAUCAUAUAAAUGUAACUGCAUUUAAAAAAAAGAAGGGAAUGAUAAAAUCGAAUUCUAUUUCAUCAGCAUACUGCAUGAAAAGUUACAUUGAAUGCAGACUCAAUCAAUUUCCCCAAAGUUAUUGUUAACUGAAAAUCAAUACCAAACCCAUAAAUACCACCAUUGAAUUUGGCAAAACCCAAAAACAAAAUACAAAAAUUUACUCAUAUAAUCACAGAAAAACAUGAAAUUUGAGCACCCAUUUGGCCAAGUUAAAGGAUAAAGGCACUCACAUCAUCGAAGUACUGUUUGAGAAGACCUUCUAAUACUAGUUCUUCCUUUUUCGUGCUCUUCCGCAGAACUGCCAUAAAAAAACCGGAGAAGCAUACAAAUUCAGAAAAGGAAAGGACCAAAACUGCCAUAAAAAAUCCAGAAAGCAUACAAAUUUAUCAGAAAGAAAAGUUCAAAUUACAAAAACCAACUGAUGUGAGUGAGUAGUGAGAGAUUGUGUUAGGCACCUGAAACACGUUUUGGUUUCAAUUGAGAGGGCCAGAGCCUUGCAUGCGAGGAAGAUGACGCUAGGAUUCCAGAGACAGAGAAAGGAGGAGUAAGACGACGGAGGCGAGAGGAGGAUAGGACAGAGGCGAGACCGUCUGUGUCGUGGGUCUGCGAGACGGAGGAGGCAAGGAGGGUUUGAGAAGCAGAUGGAAAAGGCUGGCUUUACCAUCGUUUUUCCCUUCCCGCGAUCAUCAAAGCGUGUGCAUCAAGAUCAGCGGAACUGAUAGCCUGUGGCAGACUCGUAAAUAAAGUGAAAUUGAGCCACUAAAAUCAGCAUGGUGGCAAACUCGUAAAUAAAGUAAAUUUGAGGCAAAAUUGUAGGUGACUUGCUCAAUUGUCGAAUAUUGUCAUGUAAUCUUAUUGUUAAUAUUUACAUCUUUCCAAAAGUUUUUUGUGAAGUUUGAAUGAAUGUGAAGCUUCAACUUCUACCAAAUUUAUUUCGACUUUAAUCUCAUUUAUUGGCAUAACUGAUUGUUUUAAGACGUAAAAUCAUAAUUUAAAACUUAUACUUUCUCGCCAUUAGAUCGGUUAAUCGCUUCACCGGCCACAAUCUAAUACUUAAAACCUAAAAUCAGAGCUCUAAAGACAAUUACCCCUCGUAACCAACCGGAUCAAAAUUGAAGAAAAUUGUACAGCUUAGAGUGGACUUGUAGAUGAGUGAGCUAACUGAUAAGUUGAAAUUUCAAGUCCGUUGUUACUUGGUAGUGACAACCUAUCUACCUUUGCCUAACGGGCAGGAAGACUCAGGGUGUGCUAGUCUAAAAGGGAAACCGGGGCAGUUGGGGUAGGACACAUCGCAUUGCAUGGGACCCUUUUGACUCUUUUAGGCAGAAUAUUUAACAACUACAUAGACUCCAAGAAUGGGGGACCACAUAUAUCAAACGACUCCUUUUAAUCCCUUUUUUUUUUUUUUUUUAGUUGAACGAUAUUGUCGUUAAGUUAGAAAUUAGAUUUGCUACUGACAGAACUUGAAUCCAUAUCAUCAUACAAGAGCUUCACUCAUCUGCCUCACUGUGGUAGAGGGUCACCUGCUACUUUUAAUCCUUUUUACUUUCUAAACUGGUAUGAAACUCCAAUCAUUAACCUUAUUUUUUGAUUUUUGGAUGUAUGUUUUGGUGCAAAUACGAGUCCGGGAAUGUUUGGGAUUGUUUCUGAUUGUAUUUGAUAGAAAAGUUAAAAAAGUGUUUACAAUUCCUUCUGAAAAGUGUUUAUGAGCUAUAAAAGCAUUUUUUUGAAGAACUUGUCAAAUGUGAAACACUUUAAAAAACUUUUUGAGGAAGCACUUGGAGUUGUGAUAAAAAAAAAACUUCAACUUGUUUCUCAUACCGACAAAAUUGCAUGACUUUCGCUCUUUACCAACAACGACACUGAAAUCAGCUUCACAAUCAUCCAUAAUUACAAAAACAAAAAUAAAAUUUAUCCAUCUCUUCGAAGAAUUGACAUCCAAUUCGAGAUGGCCGACUUGUCAAUAACUUCACACUUUCUAAAUUAUUUAAUCCGUCGGGUGCCGAAAUCAACACUUCUGACCAAGAAAAUGAUGCAUUCCAAAUUAGAAAUUCGCAUGUUCAUCGUUUAACGCGCAAAGCAUCAAUUUGAAAACCAAAAGAGUGAAGAUAUUUUGUAUAAAUAACGUAUGUACAUACUUUUCAGCAAUACGAUUCAGGGUAGCAUAUUACAUUUUAUUAGUUUAGCCCUAAAAUACUGUUGUUGAAACAUGCAAACGAAUCCUACUUAACUUUAAAAAUCUAAUACCCAUCACGGGGUGGCUCAAUAGACGGGUUCGAAUUUCAGUCUUGUAUUUCAUACAGUAUGUGUUCAAUUCUUGCCGCUAGCAAAUUACACAAUGAUAGCUAGAAAGAAGCUGAAAUUUUUAUGUGAGUCUUUCCUAUCUCCAAAAUGAAGUCUAUUUCUUUAUUAAAAAAAACUUUAAAAAUCUAAUUAUUUAACGAUGAUGACGGUCUGGUUUUGCAACAACCACGAUUACAAGAAUUGAUUAAUAUUUGAGAGACAGCCACAGUUAGCCGGAAUUGAAGACUAUUUGAGAGACAGCCACAGUUAGCCGGAAUUGAAGACUGAUUCUUCUAAUUAUUUUUCUAAUUAUGCUACAAUGCUAUAUUAUUGUUAAUAUUUGUUAAUGGGUAAUACAUGAGAUGCUAUGAUUAUGUUUCCCAGAAUUAUUUAAACUUUAAAAAAUCAAUUAGCUUUUGAUCUAUAGUAGUAGUCUUCACUUGACUUCAUGAGGGUUCGACUAACUUGUGAUGAGUUCAAUACCCGAUUGUUAUGUAAUUUGUUGCGUAUGUGUUGGUUAAUGACAUACCUAAUUAUUAUGUACUUUGUUGAGUAUGUGUUGGUCCAUUGUCAUUAAGAAAUUUUUUCUGCAUCAAUAAAACAAUCCUUUUAGUUUUAUGUAUCAAAUUUUGGGCCAAUUAAAGUGAUUCAUCUUUUUUUUUUUAACAAACGAUAUUAUCUACACAAGGGAAAUAUGAUGGGUUUAACCUUACAAUUGGCUAAUAAUAAUGUGAUUCAAAUUCGACUUUAUUGAGAAUCGAACCUAAGACCUCUCACUUACAAAUGAAGAAGAAUAUCACUAGACUGUAGUUCUAAGUAGCCAAGUGAUUCAUCUUAAACUAAAUGAUGUAAUGGCUGAUGAUUGGAUUAUAUUACAUAAGUGUUAAUCAAUAUGCUUAUUUCCUAUGAUUAACACAUCAUUUAGUUUGCAAAUUAAAAUUUUAGUUUCACCGAUCUUUCCCAACAUGACUACAAGUGAGCUUCUCCUAACGCGGAGAUAAAACGUUAUAAUACACAGAGCCCCACCAUUGCAAUAAUAUCUCCAUGAACUUCUUAUUUUUUCAAUAAAAAGAAUUAAAUUUAAGGACAACUAAUGAAAAUGGCUUGAAAACUUUGAGUUUUAACGAUAAGGACAAAAUAAAGGGUAAAGUGAAUAGUAUCAAAUUUAACAUUUUAGUGUAAAAAUAUGAUUUUUCGUUAAAUUAAACAGUGUGAUGGGUUUUUUGUUAUAACUUCCUUAAAUUUAUCCAAACGCAUUGAUUGGAUCAAGAAAGGGAAUGGUUAUUUUUCCACAAUACAAAACAAGAAAGUCAACAACCAAUCCGCGAAGAGACGAACACCAUUUGGGAGCUUUGAAUAUUCCAUGUUUGCAACUUGCCGCAAGUAAUCUAAGGCCGCCCAGAGGAAGAGCGUACGAGUCAAACAUUAUACAAACGGGCACACGCGUUUCAGGGACUCUUCUUUCAGAUCCCCAUCCCAACAAUUCUCUCCGUUUUUUCUUCCUCUGAAUUCUUCGUCCUUCCGUGCUAACUCCGCUGGAUUUUCGUCCGGCCAAGGACCCGAAUCCAAGGCCCAAAAGGGUCUUUUCAUGGAUCUUUGCCUUCAUGUAUCCAUUGAGAAAGUUCUAGCCCGCUCUGCUUCCUUUUCUCAGAGAUUUCAAUGAAAAUUUCUCUGUUUUCAUGGCUUUUCUUAAUACCCUUUUACUACUGUUCCAUCAGCAUCAACGUAUUUCUCGUCUACGGCCAAUGUCCCGGCGAUCAGCAAUCUUUGCUGCUACAAUUGAAGAACAAUCUCACAUUUGACACUGCAACAUCUAAGAAACUUGUCAGGUGGAACAACGGCUCGGAUCACUGCUCUUGGGAAGGAGUGUCCUGCAAAAAGGGUUGUGUUUCGAGUCUGGACUUGAGCAGCGAGGAAAUUACUGGUGGACUUGAUAAUUCGAGUUCUCUUUUCGGUCUCAAGUCAAUCGAGUACCUGAAUUUGGCUUACAAUAACUUCCAGAAUGCUCAGAUUCCAUCGGAGUUCAAGCAGCUAACCGGUUUGAGUAAUCUGAACUUGUCGAAUGCUGGCUUUGCGGGUCAGGUUCCGAUUGAGAUUUCACACCUGACGAGGUUGGUAACUCUUGAUUUGUCUACCUUUUAUUUAUUUUCCCCCGGAACUCCGUCGUUGAAUCUUGAGAAUCCGAAAUUGGAUGUGCUGCUUAGGAACUUUUCUGAGCUUGUUGAACUUUAUCUUGAUGGUGUGAGUAUAUCAGCACAGGGGACUGAGUGGUGCCAAGCGAUAUCAUCUUCAUUGCCAAACUUGAGGGUAUUGAGCUUGUCCACUUGUAACCUUUCAGGCCCUAUUCAUAAUUCAUUACUGAAGCUUAAGUCGCUCUCAGUUAUUCGGAUUGAGAACAACAAUUUGUCUACUCAUGUUCCGGAGUUCUUCUCGAAUUUCUCGAAUUUGACUUCCUUACGAAUCAUGAAUUCGGGAUUAAAUGGUUCAUUCCCAAAGAAGAUCUUCCAGGUGCCGACACUGCAGACUAUUGACUUAUCCGGUAAUCCGCAGCUUCAAGGUUCCUUACCAGAAUUUCGGAAGAACGGAUCUCUUCGAUCGCUGGUUCUCAAUGGGGCAAAUUUCUCAGGCCAGAUGCUUCCGAACUCUAUUGGGAACCUCAAAUUGCUGUCCAAAAUAGAUAUUGGAAAUUGCAAUUUCACUGGAUCAAUCCCAAAGUCAAUGGAAGACCUUACACAGUUGGUUUAUUUGGACUUGUCGAUGAACAAGUUCAAUGGUUCAGUUCCAUCUUUC